CAGAGGUUAACAGAGCCACCAAAGUGUUAAUAAAAACAACAAUAAAUGCUUAAGAUAAAAAGUCAAUAAAUUAGUUCAUAUGGUAAAAUAUAUCUAAAAAUAUCUAAAAAGUUUUAUUUCAUUUUACUGUAUAUUAUUUGAUUAAAAAAAAAACAAAACAAACAAACAUCCAAAAUAAUUAUUUACAUUAUUAAAUGGUUGAAACCCAUGUAGAUUUCUAUUAGGAAGGGCAUUUUGUUCUAAAGCCUCUGCAGCAACUUGCAUCCAAUCAGAUUGUUGCGGGAAUUCCCCAUGUUGGUGAGACACACGCAAAGUGCUGCAUUAAAAUUAGCAGAGAAGCAAGUGGAGAAAUUGAGUCUAAAACUGAAAAGUACAAUUUGGUACUCCAAAGAAGAUAUUUUUGUUUUCACUCCAAUGAAGGUAUUUUUGUUUUCACUCCAGAGAAGAUAUUUUUUUGUUUUCCGGUUUUGAGCUACUGGUGUUUUGCAAAACAACCGGACUCUUUAUUGAUGGUUUGUGUACUGGAUUAAACGGGACUUGGCCAACUUAGGUUGGGAUGAAGGAUUGUUGAUUAGACACUGGAUUUGGAAAUUGGAAGAUUCAAGAUGGCGAGCCACCCUAUGGACACAGUGUGAACUGUGCAUGAGCCAGGAUUGCACCCCCUGCUGGAUGUUUCAUGGUUUACAUCUGAACUGGUAGGAUCUUUUCACCUUCCACCAAACUAGUGGAUCCAGGUGGAUAACAUUGGACUGAUAAUUCAGAGAAAGAAAAACAAGCAAAAUCGGAAGUAAGAGACUUUAUUCUGUGGAAUACAGACUUGUUCAGUCUUUUGCUGAAUAUUUUGAGUUUUGUAACAGUUUGAUUUUCUUUAUUCAUUGUUUGGUUCCAAAUGCUAAAACAACAUUUUGUCUAAAUUCAAUGAUACCUAUACUAAACUAAAAGAGUUGAGAUAAAUAGAACUAAACUCAUUAAUAAAAGAGUUAAAUAGAGAAAUACCUUGAACUACCUUGAACUGAAGAUUAAAAUAGCUAAAGGUUGCAACCUAUAUUGAUAGGACCCAAAAGGAAUUAAAUAUCCUAAAAUUAAACUAAGAAGGUUUAACACAAAAAGGGAUUUAUUCCAAAAUAAAUGUUAAAUGUAAGUCAUUGUCUUUUGUCCAUAUGUUCAAUAACAAGCCGGCAUUUAAACUUUA
Molecule: long non-coding RNA, 1192 nt
Organism: Cyprinodon tularosa
Lineage: Eukaryota; Metazoa; Chordata; Actinopteri; Cyprinodontiformes; Cyprinodontidae
Exons: 2
Source: RefSeq, a predicted model, not a curated record